RNAcentral lists this long non-coding RNA (627 nucleotides) under Vitis vinifera (wine grape). RNAcentral describes it as "long non-coding RNA (VVIN_LNC003303)". The record is from RNAcentral. Lineage: Eukaryota; Viridiplantae; Streptophyta; Magnoliopsida; Vitales; Vitaceae.
GAGAGGGUCACAUCAUUAGAGAGAGUUUGUGAUAUAUUGAUAUUUGAGGGCAUGUUUAUUCAUUUUUGAUCCCGUCUUUGGGUCUUUCUUGGUUUGCGUUCAGAGCAUGUAUAUUUGUAUAUAUGUAAAAAAAAAAAAAAAAAAAAAAAUUGAAAAAAAAAUGAUUGAAAAAAAAAAAAAAAAGAGAAAAAGAAAAGAGGCACAUGUGUGUAUUGUUCUCUAUCAUUGAGUAUGUGUAUAUUAGUGUUCGAGGGGUCGCUUUGUUGGAUAUGUCUAUUCAUGGGAGUUCGUAUGUGAGCUCCUCGGGACCUUUCAUUCUUCGUAUUCAUUUUGUUGUAUGUUUUGAGAGCGAGAUGAGUGGCCUUCUCUUAGGAGCUCUGGGUCAUUGUCCAUUCCAUCAUUUUGUUCGUUAUUGACGUGACUUCCUUUCAUAUUUGAUUUGAGCAGAUCAUCACUUGUUCUCAUAUUCUAUGCUUCAUCAUCAUCCUCGUUUUCACUUCUGAUUCAUCAUUUUUAUUUCACCUCUUAUUCCGUUCUUACAGUGACCUCAUUUUCUGGUUUGGUACCCUCUUCGUACCAUCAUUAUACAUCUCGUCAUCAGUUCGGUUUUUCUUCAUUGCAUCAUCA